This 1390-nucleotide long non-coding RNA is filed under the name Phasianus colchicus (ring-necked pheasant). RNAcentral's name for it is "lncRNA (ENSPCLG00000020179.1)". The record is from RNAcentral. Lineage: Eukaryota; Metazoa; Chordata; Aves; Galliformes; Phasianidae.
CCAUCCCCCCCCACCCCCAUCACCCCCCAUCGCCCCCCCGCCCCCCCCGCCGCUCACGUGAUCGAGGAAGGCGGACCGCACGCCGAGGUACCGCGACGCCACGUAGAGGCAGAAGAGGUGGCGGUCGAUGCCGGCGCCCGUCAUGGCCAGGCGGUACAACUGCUGGUGCCGCGCCGCCGCCGCCACGAACAGCGAGCGCCGCGACGAGCGCUGCGGGACGGCGGGGGUUGGGGGCGGCCGGGGACCACAGGGACGGGGGAGCCGGAGGGACACCAGGGGGACCCAGAGGGACGGGGACCCCACAGGGACGGGGGCAUCAUAGGGACAGGGGGACCAGAGGGACACCAGAGGGACCCUUAUAGGGACAGAGGCACCGUAGGGACACCAUAGGGACACCAGAGGGACACCAGAGGGACACCAGAGGGACACCAUAGGCACAGAGACACCAUAGGGACACCAGAGGGACACCAUAGGGACACCAUAGGGACACCAUAGGGGCAGGGACACCAUAGGGACACCAGAGGGACACCAUAGGGACAGCGGCUUCGUAGGGACAGGGACACCAUAGGGAUCUCAUAGGGACAGGGGCAUUCUUAGGGACAGGGGCACCAUAGGGACAGGGCCACCAUAGGGACACCAUAGGGACCCUUAUAGGGACAGGGGCACCGUAGGGACAGGGGCACCAUAGGGACACCAUAGGGACACCAGAGGGACACCAGAGGGACACCAGAGGGACACCAGAGGGACAGGGGCUCCGUAGGGACGGGGAGAACAUAGGGACCCCAUAGGGACUCUAAUAGGGACAGGGGCACCGUAGGGGCACCAGAGGGGCACCAGAGGGACACCAUAGGGACAGGGACACCAUAGGGACCCCAUAGGGACCCCAUAGGGACACCAGAGGGACACCAGAGGGACACCAGAGGGACGGGGGUGCCGUAGGGACAGGGGCACCAUAGGGAUCUCAUAGGGACGGGAGCAUCAUAGGGACAGGGGCACCAUAGGGACACCAGAGGGACACCAUAGGGAUAGGGACCCCUACAGGGACAGGGGCACCAUAGGGACACCAGAGGGACACCAUAGGGAUAGGGAUCCCUACAGGGACAGGGGCAUCAUAGGGACACCAUAGGGACAGGGACACCAGAGGGACCCACAGGGACACCAUAGGGAACCCAUAGAGUCGUGGAUCCCAUAGGGACAGGGACCCCAUAGGGACACCACAAGGACACCAUAGGGACAGGGGCACCACAGGGACAGGGACCCCAUAGGGACCCACAUAGGAACACCGUUAGGGACAGGGACCCCCAUAGGGACAGGGACACCAGAGGGACACCAGAGGGACUCUAAUAGGGACAGGGACACCAUAGGGACACCAUAGGGACACCAUAGGGAC